RNAcentral lists this ribosomal RNA (504 nucleotides) under uncultured bacterium. RNAcentral describes it as "bacterial SSU rRNA". It matches the Rfam family "Bacterial small subunit ribosomal RNA", at positions 30 to 528 of the family's 1533-position model. The record is from RNAcentral.
AUUGAACGCUGGCGGAAUGCUUUACACAUGCAAGUCGAACGGUAGAGGGGGCAACCCCUCGAGAGUGGCGAACGGGUGAGUAAUAUAUCGGAACGUGCCCAGUCGUGGGGAUAACGUAGCGAAAGUUACGCUAAUACCGCAUACGAUCUACGGAUGAAAGCGGGGGACUCGCAAGAGCCUCGCGCGAUUGGAGCGGCCGAUAUCAGAUUAGGUAGUUGGUGGGGUAAAGGCUCACCAAGCCAACGAUCUGUAGCUGGUCUGAGAGGACGACCAGCCACACUGGAACUGAGACACGGUCCAGACUCCUACGGGAGGCAGCAGUGGGGAAUUUUGGACAAUGGACGCAAGUCUGAUCCAGCCAUUCCGCGUGCAGGAUGAAGGCCCUCGGGUUGUAAACUGCUUUUGUACGGAACGAAAAGGUCUCUAUUAAUACUAGGGGCUCAUGACGGUACCGUAAGAAUAAGCACCGGCUAACUACGUGCCAGCAGCCGCGGUAAAGUGACU